UCCUGCUCUGCACCUGACUCCACCAGCUGAGACCUAUUCACCUAAUCACCUGCUUCAGCUCUUAAGGAGACUCAGCCUCAGUAUUCGACGCCAGUUCGUUGCCCCUUAUGGAUUCCAGCCUUCAAUUGUCUCCUGUGUGGAAGUCAGUCCGAGCCCUCCAGAAGCCCUGUGAAAACUUCAAGCUCAGUAAAGCCGCUCUACUACCUCCAGCCACGCCACAAGCCACUGUCCUCGCCAGCUUUUUUCCAAGCCAUCACCAUCUCUCCUGGAAAGAAAAUAAAAUCUCUUCCUUAACUCUCACCUACCAUUGUCCUCAUUCUGGGUUACAGCAUCUGGGUCUGUCCAUCCUACAAGUCAUGACAA
Non-coding RNA from Oryzias latipes (Japanese medaka), 363 nucleotides. The record is from RefSeq and is a predicted model, not a curated record. NCBI's taxonomy places the organism in Eukaryota, Metazoa, Chordata, Actinopteri, Beloniformes, Adrianichthyidae.